Molecule: ribosomal RNA, 266 nt
Filed under: uncultured archaeon
Lineage: Archaea
Description: partial 16S ribosomal RNA
Rfam family: Archaeal small subunit ribosomal RNA
Source: RNAcentral
ACACGACUACAUUAGAUACCCCCUGUAGUCCUAGCCGUAAACGAUACUCGCUAGGUGUCGGCCACGGUGCGACCGUUGUCGGUGCCGUAGGGAAGCCGUGAAGCGAGCCACCUGGGAAGUACGGCCGCAAGGCUGAAACUUAAAGGAAUUGGCGGGGGAGCACCACGACGGGUGGAGCUUGCGGUUUAAUUGGAUUCAACGCCGGAAAUCUUACCGGGACCGACAGCAACAUGAAGGCCAGGCUGAAGACUUUGCCGGAUUAGCUG